GGUACGACUCAUAUCCCACG
Molecule: unclassified non-coding RNA, 20 nt
Filed under: Mus musculus (house mouse)
Lineage: Eukaryota; Metazoa; Chordata; Mammalia; Rodentia; Muridae
Description: oocyte_clustered_small_RNA2424
Source: RNAcentral